Molecule: ribosomal RNA, 253 nt
Filed under: uncultured bacterium
Lineage: Bacteria
Description: partial 16S ribosomal RNA
Rfam family: Bacterial small subunit ribosomal RNA
Source: RNAcentral
UACGGGGGGGGCAAGCGUUGUUCGGAAUUACUGAGCGUAAAGGGCUCGUAGGUGGCCAACUAAGUCAGACGUGAAAUCCCUCGGCUUAACCGGGGAACUGCGUCUGAUACUGGAUGGCUUGAGUUCGGGAGAGGGAUGCGGAAUUCCAGGUGUAGCGGUGAAAUGCGUAGAUAUCUGGAGGAACACCGGUGGCGAAGGCGGCAUCCUGGACCGACACUGACGCUGAGGAGCGAAAGCCAGGGGAGCAAACGGG